Podarcis muralis (Common wall lizard) is the source of this 309-nucleotide long non-coding RNA. RefSeq lists it as uncharacterized. The record is from RefSeq and is a predicted model, not a curated record. Lineage: Eukaryota; Metazoa; Chordata; Lepidosauria; Squamata; Lacertidae.
CGCGGGAGCUUCUCAGUGUGAGCCACCCACUCCUUCAUGCUGUCGAGGACGAUGGGGAUGAGGCUCACCACACCGCCGUAAUGGUUCCGGGCUUCAUCGCAGCUGAGAGGGAUGAAGAUGAACAGAAACUAGUUCCUGUUUGGACAUGCCACACCUGAGCAAGAACUACUUGGUUUUCAAAAAAUUACCUUUCCAAGUUCUGGACAUCUAGAGUAUGAGUAUACAUGGAGAGAUGGAAGGCGAAGAAAAAAAUGGAUUUGAGCAGAAUCAGAAUUGUAGAGUUUGAAAGGAGCCCCAAGUUUCAUCUAG